AACAAGAAGAUGAAUAACAAUGGCUACCAGAGGUCAACCAAGCUCUGAUACCAUGUUGAUAAUGGAAGAUCUCUAACAGAAGGAAAAGUUACAGAGUAAAAAUAUAACUGAAAGCAUUGUAGAAGAUAAAGAUGAGUAAAAAAUCUAUUAUCUUCAUUGAUUAAUCAAUAAGCCAGAUUACUAUUAUAUAUACAGAUAUAUCGGUCC
RNAcentral lists this long non-coding RNA (207 nucleotides) under Lathyrus oleraceus (garden pea). Its description in RNAcentral is "Pisum sativum (pea) long non-coding RNA (PSAT_LNC002755)". Lineage: Eukaryota; Viridiplantae; Streptophyta; Magnoliopsida; Fabales; Fabaceae. The record is from RNAcentral.